AGAGUUUGAUCCUGGCUCAGGAUGAACGCUGGCGGCGUGCUUAACACAUGCAAGUCGAACGAAGCACUUUUACAGAUUUCUUCGGAAUGAAGUUUUAGUGACUGAGUGGCGGACGGGUGAGUAACGCGUGGGUAACCUGCCUCACACAGGGGGAUAACAGUUGGAAACGGCUGCUAAUACCGCAUAAGCGCACAGUACCGCAUGGUACAGUGUGAAAAACUCCGGUGGUGUGAGAUGGACCCGCGUCUGAUUAGCUAGUUGGCAGGGCAACGGCCUACCAAGGCGACGAUCAGUAGGGGUUCUGAGAGGAAGGUCCCCCACAUUGGAACUGAGACACGGUCCAAACUCCUACGGGAGGCAGCA
Molecule: ribosomal RNA, 363 nt
Filed under: uncultured bacterium
Lineage: Bacteria
Description: bacterial SSU rRNA
Rfam family: Bacterial small subunit ribosomal RNA
Source: RNAcentral